CUAGAUCGAGCUAGAUUUUUCAACAUUAAUGUUUCCUUUCCCCUGAUUUUCAUUCAUGAAAUUGAAGAUCCUCUUUGGGUGCUUUCUGCUCACUUACACAUUCAAUAAGCAGCCAUGAAUAUGAUCAUUCUACAUCUUCGAAUUGCAAACUCGGGAAUCACGCGAUUCUCCAGCAUCUCCGUCGGUGUUCGAUGUGACAUCCCGUCUGCUCGACGAGACGGGCUCAGCAAAAUCUAGUAUACUAGGAGGUGUUCCUCUCUCUGGGGUGACUCGGGUGGGCUUAUGUAGCGGUAGGCUCAAAGAACUCCGUCGUUCUGGUGACUCGUUGGCGAAAGGUUGGCGUAUGCUGUUUGAGGACGGCGGCGACCCAACCGGAAUCACAUGUCAGUCAUCGGGGUUGGGGUAGAGCUCCGAGGUAAGGGUUUGUUUUGCGGUGUCAGUGGAUCUCACAACUGGGAUGGCGGUUCCCCUUUUUCUUGAAUCUCGUCGGCUCGUCUUUCUUUCUUUUCUCGUCGGCGAGAGUGGAUGAGCACAGAACUUCUUAGACCUGCGAGGUGAUGAAGCGGUUGCAGAAAGUGGCAGUCAGGGUUUCGGAGUCAUUCUUCAUCCGAAGGCGAGACGCUCCGUGGGUGGCUCUGUUGAUGGUGACUGACGGUGGAUCUGGCGGGACUCGACACCCCUGUCGUGAGAAGUCGCCGGAAUCUAGAUCUGGUGGUUGUGGUGUCAACGGAGGAGGAAGCAUACUCCCUCAGUCUUCCCCUCAACCUAAAUUCCUUCUUUUUGUAAUAUGUGUAUUUUCCUAGAUUUAAUCACUCGUAACCUAGGGUUCGCGUUUCUCCAGUGUACCGGAAUAAGCCGUAGUCCCUGAUGCCCUUCGGGAAUGGAAAGAAUAUUUAUGUUUAACUAUUUUCUAAAAAAAAUCAAAAAAUAA
Molecule: long non-coding RNA, 931 nt
Organism: Brassica napus (rape)
Lineage: Eukaryota; Viridiplantae; Streptophyta; Magnoliopsida; Brassicales; Brassicaceae
Exons: 2
Source: RefSeq, a predicted model, not a curated record